GAUGAAGAACGUAGCGAAAUGCGAUAAGUAAUGUGAAUUGCAGAAUUCAGUGAAUCAUCGAGUCUUUGAACGCACAUUGCGCCCCCUGGUAUUCCGGGGGGCAUGCCUGUCCGAGCGUCAUUGUUGCCCUCAAGCACGGCUUGUGUGUUGGGCCUCCGUCCUCCUCCCGGGGGACGGGCCCGAAAGGCAGCGGCGGCACCGCGUCCGGUCCUCGAGCGUAUGGGGCUUCGUCACCCGCUCUUGUAGGCCCGGCCGGCGCUUGCCGACACAUCAAUCUUUUUUCCAGGUUGACCUCGGAUCAGGUAGGGAUACCCGCUGAACUUAAGCAUAUCAAUAAGCGGAGGA
This 345-nucleotide unclassified non-coding RNA is filed under the name soil metagenome. RNAcentral describes it as "partial contains 5.8S ribosomal RNA, internal transcribed spacer 2, and large subunit ribosomal RNA". The stretch from base 1 to 120 matches the Rfam family "5.8S ribosomal RNA", at positions 35 to 154 of the family's 154-position model. The record is from RNAcentral.